GACGAACGCUGGCGGCGUGCUUAACACAUGCAAGUCGAACGGAAAGGCCCUGCUUUUGUGGGUUUCUCGAGUGGCGAACGGGUGAGUAACACGUGAGUAACCUGCCCUUGACUUUGUGAUAACUUCAGGAAACUGGGGCUAAUACCGGAUAGGAGCUCCUGCUGCAUGGUGGUCGUUGGAAAGUUUCGGCGGUUGGGGAUGUACUCGCGGCUUAUGAGCUUGUUGGUGGGGUAGUGGCUGACCAAGGCUUCGACGGGUAGCCGGCCUGGGAGGGGGGCCGGGGACAAUGGGACUGAGAGACGGCGCAGAAGGGUACGGGAGGCAACAGGGGGAAGUAUGGCGCAGUGAGCGGAAGCGUGAGGCAGAAGCGCCGCGAGCGGGAUGAUGGCCUUCGGGUUGUAAACCGCUUUCGCCUGUGACGAAGCGUGAGUGACGGUAAUGGGUAAAGAAGCACCGGCUAACUACGUG
This 468-nucleotide ribosomal RNA is filed under the name uncultured bacterium. RNAcentral describes it as "partial 16S ribosomal RNA". It matches the Rfam family "Bacterial small subunit ribosomal RNA", at positions 28 to 507 of the family's 1533-position model. The record is from RNAcentral.